GUCAGUCUGGCCUAGUGGUACAUUAACACAGAUUCGGGAGGGCGCUCGGCUGCGGUGCUGACUGCAAUAGGAAAUACAGGUCGUGGGUUGCCACUCUGAGGGUUACUGGUUCGAGUCCGGUGGCGGGCA
Non-coding RNA from Neocucurbitaria cava, 129 nucleotides. The record is from the annotation of a GenBank genome assembly. NCBI's taxonomy places the organism in Eukaryota, Fungi, Ascomycota, Dothideomycetes, Pleosporales, Cucurbitariaceae.